RNAcentral lists this ribosomal RNA (253 nucleotides) under uncultured bacterium. RNAcentral describes it as "partial 16S ribosomal RNA". It matches the Rfam family "Bacterial small subunit ribosomal RNA", at positions 524 to 776 of the family's 1533-position model. The record is from RNAcentral.
CACGGGGGGAGCAAGCGUUGUUCGGAAUCACUGGGCGUAAAGGGCGUGCAGGCGGUCAGGUAAGUGGGAUGUGAAAUGCCCCGGCUCACCCGGGGACCGGCAUCUCAUACUGCUUGGCUUGAGUACGGGAGAGGAUGUGGGAAUUCCUGGUGUAGCGGUGAAAUGCGUAGAUAUCAGGAGGAACACCGGUGGCGAAGGCGCACAUCUGGCCCGAUACUGACGCUGAGGCGCGAAAGCUAGGGGAGCGAACAGG